GUGUCAGGAGGUUGGUCGUGCCACCGGUACGUACUGGUCUCACUGAUUCCUCCUUCCUGAAGAACCGUAAUGCCAUUAAUUUGGUGUUGCGGGGAAACAGGACUGUUACUUUGAAAAAAUUAGAGUGUUUAAAGCAAGCUAACGCUUGAAUACGUUAGCAUGGAAUAAUGAAAUAGGACGAUCGAUCCUAUUUUGUUGGUUUCUAGGAUUGACGUA
This 216-nucleotide ribosomal RNA is filed under the name Glomeromycotina sp. RNAcentral describes it as "partial small subunit ribosomal RNA". The stretch from base 40 to 216 matches the Rfam family "Eukaryotic small subunit ribosomal RNA", at positions 686 to 864 of the family's 1831-position model. The record is from RNAcentral. Lineage: Eukaryota; Fungi; Glomeromycota.